This 642-nucleotide ribosomal RNA is filed under the name uncultured archaeon. RNAcentral describes it as "bacterial SSU rRNA". It matches the Rfam family "Archaeal small subunit ribosomal RNA", at positions 1 to 648 of the family's 1478-position model. The record is from RNAcentral.
UUUUCCGGUUGAUCCCGCCGGCGGCCACCGCUAUAGGAAUUCGAUUAAGACAUGCGAGUCGAGAGUCUUCGGGACUCGGCGCACUGCUCAGUAACACGUGGAUAACAUGCCCUUAGGUGGAGGAUAAUCUCGGGAAACUGAGGAUAAUACUCCAUAGAUCAUGGGAGCUGGAACGCCCCAUGGUCGAAAGUUCCGGCGCCUAAGGAUUGGUCUGCGGCCUAUCAGGUUGUAGUGGGUGUAACGGACCCACUAGCCGAUGACGGGUAUGGGCCUUGAGAGAGGGAGCCCAGAGAUGGACUCUGAGACACGAGUCCAGGCCCUACGGGGCGCAGCAGUCGCGAAAACUUCACACUGGGGGCAACCCCGAUGAGGGAAUUCCUAGUGCAUGCAUUAAAUGUAUGCUUUUCUUUAGUAUAGAACGCUAAAGGAAUAAGGGCUGGGAAAGACGGGUGCCAGCCGCCGCGGUAAUACCCGCAGCCCGAGUGGUGGUCGAUAUUAUUGAGUCUAAAACGUUCGUAGCCUGUUCAGUAAAUCUUUGGGUAAAUCGGUGAGCUUAACUUACCGAAUUCCGAGGAGACUGCUGAACUUGGGACCGGGAGAGGCUAGAGGUACUUCUGGGGUAGGGGUAAAAUCCUGCAAUCA